GUGGGGAAUAUUGGACAAUGGGCGCAAGCCUGAUCCAGCCAUACCGCGUGGGUGAAGAAGGCCUUCGGGUUGUAAAGCCCUUUUGUUGGGAAAGAAAUCCUGUCGAUUAAUACUCGGUGGGGAUGACGGUACCCAAAGAAUAAGCACCGGCUAACUUCGUGCCAGCAGCCGCGGUAAUACGAAGGGUGCAAGCGUUACUCGGAAUUACUGGGCGUAAAGCGUGCGUAGGUGGUGGUGUAAGUCUGCUGUGAAAGCCCUGGGCUCAACCUGGGAAUUGCAGUGGAUACUGGAUCACUAGAGUGUGGUAGAGGGAUGCGGAAUUUCUGGUGUAGCAGUGAAAUGCGUAGAGAUCAGAAGGAACAUCCGUGGCGAAGGCGGCAUCCUGGGCCAACACUGACACUGAGGCACGAAAGCGUGGGGAGCAAACAGGAUUAGAAACCCUAGUAGUCC
Molecule: ribosomal RNA, 450 nt
Filed under: uncultured bacterium
Lineage: Bacteria
Description: partial 16S ribosomal RNA
Rfam family: Bacterial small subunit ribosomal RNA
Source: RNAcentral